This 395-nucleotide unclassified non-coding RNA is filed under the name Hevea brasiliensis (rubber tree). Lineage: Eukaryota; Viridiplantae; Streptophyta; Magnoliopsida; Malpighiales; Euphorbiaceae. The record is from RNAcentral.
CCAUCUACAAGCUCUUGUGAGUAGGAAAUAAGCCGGAAUCCAGAGUGGACAGCCAUACUGUUUACAACUGGUCUUGGAAUUCAAGAAUAAUUAGGCCAAUAUCAAUAUCCAAGAACAGCUUCACUCAACUCCAGAACCCUGUUUAACAGUACAGGUCCUACCAAUAACCAAGCUUAGUCCGGCGGUGGGCUUUGUUUUUCUUUUGUAUUUUUUUAGUUUCUGUGAGAAAUGAUCGGUUUAUGGACCUCCUCCGCCUGUGUCUGGGGAUGGGCAAAAUGGCCAGCGUCGGCGGUGAUAAAUGCGAUGGCCGGCAGCUUCUUAGGACAAUAGAAACAUAAAAGAGAGAAAGAGAGUAGGUUUGGCGGUGGACAGAGGAGAGGUGAUUAGGGCUGCAG